RNAcentral lists this ribosomal RNA (253 nucleotides) under uncultured bacterium. Its description in RNAcentral is "partial 16S ribosomal RNA". It matches the Rfam family "Bacterial small subunit ribosomal RNA", at positions 524 to 776 of the family's 1533-position model. The record is from RNAcentral.
UACUGAGGUGGCAAGCGUUGUUCGGAUUUAUUGGGCGUAAAGGGUCCGUAGGCGGUCCGUAAAGUCAGAUGUGAAAGCCCACAGCUCAACUGUGGAACUGCAUUUGAAACUCACGGACUAGAGUAUGAGAGGGGUUAAGGGAAUUCCCGGUGUAAGGGUGAAAUCUGCAGAGAUCGGGAGGAACACCAGUCGCGAAGGCGCUUAACUGGCUCAUUACUGACGCUCAGGGACGAAAGCUAGGGGAGCAAACGGG